GACGGAGGGUGCUAGCGUUGUUCGGAAUGACUGGGCGUAAAGGGUGCGUAGGCGGUUUCGUAAGUCAGAUGUGAAAGCCCAGGGCUUAACCUUGGAAUGGCAUUUGAUACUGUGAGACUAGAGACUGGAAGAGGAAAGCGGAAUUCCUAGUGUAGAGGUGAAAUUCGUAGAUAUUAGGAGGAACACCAGAGGCGAAGGCGGCUUUCUGGUCCAGAUCUGACGCUGAGGCACGAAAGCGUGGGGAGCAAAC
This 250-nucleotide ribosomal RNA is filed under the name uncultured Alphaproteobacteria bacterium. Its description in RNAcentral is "partial 16S ribosomal RNA". It matches the Rfam family "Bacterial small subunit ribosomal RNA", at positions 524 to 773 of the family's 1533-position model. Lineage: Bacteria; Pseudomonadati; Pseudomonadota; Alphaproteobacteria. The record is from RNAcentral.